This 344-nucleotide ribosomal RNA is filed under the name uncultured Gammaproteobacteria bacterium. RNAcentral describes it as "bacterial SSU rRNA". It matches the Rfam family "Bacterial small subunit ribosomal RNA", at positions 30 to 371 of the family's 1533-position model. The record is from RNAcentral. Lineage: Bacteria; Pseudomonadati; Pseudomonadota; Gammaproteobacteria.
AUUGAACGCUGGCGGCAGGCCUAACAUAUGCAAGUCGAACGGUAACAUUUCUAGCUUGCUAGAAGAUGACGAGUGGCGGACGGGUGAGUAAUGCCUGGGAAUAUGCCUUUGCGAGGGGGAUAACCAUUGGAAACGAUGGCUAAUACCGCAUAAUGUUUACGGACCAAAAGUGGGGACUUGUUUCUCACGCGCAAAGAGUAGCCCAGGUGAGAUUAGCUAGUUGGUGAGGUAAAGGCUCACCAAGGCGACGAUCUCUAGCUGUUCUGAGAGGAAAGAUCAGCCACACUGGGACUGAGACACGGCCCAGACUCCUACGGGAGGCAGCAGUGGGGAAUAUUGCACAA